CGGCAACAGCUCAAAUUUGAAAUCUGGCGCAAGCCCGAGUUGUAAUUUGUAGAGGAUGUUUCUGGCGACGUGCCUUCCGAGUUCCCUGGAACGGGACGCCAUAGAGGGUGAGAGCCCCGUACGGUUGGUUGCCUAGCCUCUGUGAAACUCCUUCGACGAGUCGAGUAGUUUGGGAAUGCUGCUCUAAAUGGGAGGUAUACGUCUUCUAAAGCUAAAUACCGGCCAGAGACCGAUAGCGCACAAGUAGAGUGAUCGAAAGAUGAAAAGCACUUUGAAAAGAGGGUUAAAUAGUACGUGAAAUUGUUGAAAGGGAAGCGUUUAUGACCAGACUUGAGCAGGUUGAUCAUCCGUGGUUCUCCGCGGUGCACUCUGCCUGUUCAGGCCAGCAUCAGUUUGGUUCGGGGGAUAAAGGCUUCGGGAAUGUAGCUCCCUCGGGAGUGUUAUAGACCGUUGCGUAAUACCCUGAUCCGGACUGAGGUUCGCGCUCUGCAAGGAUGCUGGCGUAAUGGUCAUCAGCGACCCGUCUUGAAACACGGACCAAGGAGUCGUCUUCGUAUGCGAGUGUUCGGGUGUCAAACCCCUACGCGUAAUGAAAGUGAACGUAGGAGAGAGCUUCGGCGCAUCUCCGACCGAUCCUGAUGUUCUCGGAUGGAUUUGAGUAAGAGCAUACGGGGCCGGACCCGAAAGAAGGUGAACUAUGCCUGUAUAGGGUGAAGCCAGAGGAAACUCUGGUGGAGGCUCGCAGCGGUUCUGACGUGCAAAUCGAUCGUCAAAUAUGGGCAUGGGGGCGAA
RNAcentral lists this ribosomal RNA (792 nucleotides) under Sesquicillium rossmaniae. Its description in RNAcentral is "eukaryotic LSU rRNA". It matches the Rfam family "Eukaryotic large subunit ribosomal RNA", at positions 99 to 927 of the family's 3401-position model. Lineage: Eukaryota; Fungi; Ascomycota; Sordariomycetes; Hypocreales; Bionectriaceae. The record is from RNAcentral.